RNAcentral lists this ribosomal RNA (466 nucleotides) under uncultured bacterium. RNAcentral describes it as "partial 16S ribosomal RNA". It matches the Rfam family "Bacterial small subunit ribosomal RNA", at positions 338 to 795 of the family's 1533-position model. The record is from RNAcentral.
CCUACGGGGGGCAGCAGUGAGGAAUAUUGGUCAAUGGGCUUACGCCUGAACCAGCCAAGUCGCGUGAGGGAAGACUGCCCUAUGGGUUGUAAACCUCUGUCAGCAGGGAAGAACGGUCACUGUGCUAAUCAGCAGUGAAUUGACGGUACCUGAAAAGGAAGCACCGGCUAACUCCGUGCCAGCAGCCGCGGUAAUACGGAGGGUGCGAGCGUUAAUCGGAAUUACUGGGCGUAAAGCGCUAGGAGGCGGUAGGUCAAGUCAAGGGUGAAAUCCCCGCGCUCAACGUGGGAACUGCCUUUGAAACUGGCAAACUGGAGUGUGUGAGAGGAUAGUGGAAUUCCAGGUGUAGGAGUGAAAUCCGUAGAUAUCUGGCGGAACAUCAGUAGCGAAGGCGACUAUCUGGCACAUAACUGACGCUGAGGAGCGAAAGCGUGGGUAGCAAACAGGAUUAGAUACCCGGGUAGUC